RNAcentral lists this long non-coding RNA (1360 nucleotides) under Marmota monax (woodchuck). The record is from RNAcentral. Lineage: Eukaryota; Metazoa; Chordata; Mammalia; Rodentia; Sciuridae.
GUGUGCCCAGGUCCGGCCGAGGCUUCAGGAGGUGGUUGGCACCCUUGGUGCACUCAGCAACAGGGAGAUGUGGAGGCUGAUCCUCAGAGUGACAGUUGGAACCAUCCAACGCCACAGUGGAGACUUGACCCUCCAGAAAUGUUUACGGAGCAGCCACCAGCACAAGGCCAAGGUGAGGGCCCUGAAAGUCCCAGGAAACCCCAGGAGGGGUGUCUUACCCGCUUGUGACUAUGUUUCAGGGAAAAAAAAAAACUGACCAAGAAAAGGGAAGGGGAGGGAGGGAGGCUGGCCCUGGAACACACCUGCAUGGAGAGUUCUGGGCCUUUCCAGACACUGCGCAGGACAACAUGGGCCUAGAGUAUGUAGACCGGCAUGUCCUCAGUGAGUCCCAGGAACAGGAGUUCUGCAGGUCUGAAGAGGUUUUGUGGCCACAUGAAUCUGGGGAGCUUUAAAUGAGUUGAUCCAGGGCUUCUCAGAGCCUUUACCUCCUGACCAUGAUCAUAACGGCCUGCACUGACCACAGCCCCAGCACUAUUCACGUACCAGCUCAUGUCAGUCUCACAACUCUAUGAAUGGGUGCAGCUGCGACCCCACUUUGCAACUGAAUAAACCAAGGCUCAGAGAAGUGAGUGACCAGCCCCUCCCCGGUCAAGAAUCCCUGAGAGACGGAUGGGAGGAGAACGCAGGAAUCUGCAGCCUUGACCUCUGUCCACAGGGCUGGGGCAGGGGGCGCAGCGUGGAACACAGUCUUCCCACCUUCAGCCAUUAGUCUGGCCUGUCCCAUGUCAUCCCAGAGCUGUUGCUGGGACCAGAUUCCAUGGGAUAUUUGAGAACUGGCUCUGGCACACCAAGGAGCGAAUGCAGGUUGACAGGUGUCUGAGCUGCGGGAAGCUCCCGGGCUGUGACUGGCCUGAAUCCAAAGGCGGGAGUCAGUCCCAGGGAAUCCAGAUGCACUGGUGGGUGGGGCCCGAGUUCCACCUCCCAGCCCUGCCCUGGGCCACCUGGAAACAGGUAGCUGAGAAAAGUGGGCUCUGCUUUCUCCUCACCGCCACCCCUGGCUCACCCCCAGUUCUGGAACAUCCCAGCCAGAGGCAGAAAGAAAUUUUCCAUUGAUUGGGCUCAGCCCAGAGGGAUAAAGAUGCUCAUCACUCCAGGCAGCUGCCCCCCCCUCUCCCCCUCCUGGAGCUCAGUCCCACCCACCGUCAUUUCUGGCUUGAUUCGAUGCUUUGUCUGGAGUCCUCAACAGGUGCAUGAAUCGGGAACGUCACUCCCAGGGGACUUUGCCAAGAGACCAUUCCCUCCCAGGGAGAGGGGCCCGUGGCCUCGGCAGAAGAAUAUCAAUCGGAAUCCAUGGUGGGAA